GACGAACGCUGGCGGCGUGCUUAACACAUGCAAGUCGAACGGAAAGGCCUUUUCGGAGGUACUCGAGUGGCGAACGGGUGAGUAACACGUGGGUGAUCUGCCCUGCACUCUGGGAUAAGCCUGGGAAACUGGGUCUAAUACCGGAUAGGACCGCACUUUAGUGUGUGUGGUGGAAAGUUUUUUCGGUGUAGGAUGAGCGCGCGGCCUAUCAGCUUGUUGGUGGGGUAAUGGCCUACCAAGGCGGCGACGGGUAGCCGGACUGAGAGGUUGGUCGGCCACAUUGGGACUGAGAGACGGCCCAGACUCCGACGGGAGGCAGCAGUGGGGAAGAUUGCACAAUGGGCGCAAGCCUGAUGCAGAGACGCCGCGGGGGGGAUGACGGCCUUCGGGUUGGAAACUCCUUUCGCCAGGGACGAAGCGUUUUGUGACGGUACCUGGAGAAGAAGCACCGGCUAACUACGUG
This 463-nucleotide ribosomal RNA is filed under the name uncultured bacterium. RNAcentral's name for it is "partial 16S ribosomal RNA". It matches the Rfam family "Bacterial small subunit ribosomal RNA", at positions 28 to 507 of the family's 1533-position model. The record is from RNAcentral.